This 669-nucleotide unclassified non-coding RNA is filed under the name Malassezia sympodialis. RNAcentral describes it as "sequence contains 18S rRNA gene, ITS1, 5.8S rRNA gene, ITS2, 28S rRNA gene". The stretch from base 220 to 373 matches the Rfam family "5.8S ribosomal RNA". Lineage: Eukaryota; Fungi; Basidiomycota; Malasseziomycetes; Malasseziales; Malasseziaceae. The record is from RNAcentral.
UGGAAGUAAAAGUCGUAACAAGGUUUCUGUAGGUGAACCUGCAGAAGGAUCAUUAGUGAAAGUUUCGGGCCUGCCAUACGGACGCAAACACGUCUCUGGCGCCCAUCACUAUAUCCAUACCAACCCCUGUGCACUGUGAUGACGAAUGUCAUCGAACAAAAAAAAACUCGUAUGGUUGAAUGUACGUGAAAUUGUAGGUAUAGCCUACGAACUAUACACAACUUUCGACAACGGAUCUCUUGGUUCUCCCAUCGAUGAAGAACGCAGCGAAACGCGAUAGGUAAUGUGAAUUGCAGAAUUCCGUGAAUCAUCGAAUCUUUGAACGCACCUUGCGCUCCAUGGUAUUCCGUGGAGCAUGCCUGUUUGAGUGCCGCGAAUUCUCCCUCCCCUUACGGUGGCCGAAAGGCCGAAGUAGGGCGGACGGGGUAGGAUGGGUGUUUGCUGCCUGGGGAUUGUACCAGGCUCGCCCGAAAUGCAUAAGCGCCAGGACCCUCGCUACCGCUCUCUAGGGAAGAGUGGCUAAGCGACCGCUGAGCAUGGCAUGAUACGUCAUUUGCUGUGUGUGGGCGGCCGGUUGGAGAGGUGUCUGCUUUACCAGCCCUAUUUUAAUUCUGGUCUCAAAUCAGGUAGGAUCACCCGCUGAACCUAAGCAUAUCAAUAAGCGGAGGA